ACUGUUCCCUGGGAUUGGCUUUGGGGAUUUCCUGCACAGCUUAGGUGGAAGGUGAACAAGGCAUCCUUCCGGGGUGGGGAUGGGGGGGAGCCAUCAGUGAGAUACCACUCUGGAAGGGCUAGAAUUCUAACCUUGUGUCAGGACCUACAGACCAAGGGACAGUCUCAGGUAGACAGUUUCUAUGGGGCUUAG
This 192-nucleotide non-coding RNA is filed under the name Solanum tuberosum (potato). Its description in RNAcentral is "Bacterial large subunit ribosomal RNA". It matches the Rfam family "Bacterial large subunit ribosomal RNA", at positions 2103 to 2284 of the family's 2925-position model. The record is from Rfam by way of RNAcentral. Lineage: Eukaryota; Viridiplantae; Streptophyta; Magnoliopsida; Solanales; Solanaceae.